RNAcentral lists this ribosomal RNA (253 nucleotides) under uncultured bacterium. RNAcentral describes it as "partial 16S ribosomal RNA". It matches the Rfam family "Bacterial small subunit ribosomal RNA", at positions 524 to 776 of the family's 1533-position model. The record is from RNAcentral.
UACGGAGGUGGCAAGCGUUGCUCGGAAUCACUGGGCGUAAAGGGCGCGUAGGCGGGGAGGUAAGUCGGGUGUGAAAUCCCUCGGCCCAACCGAGGAACUGCGCCCGAGACUGCUUCUCUUGAGUCCCGGAGAGGAAGAUGGAAUUCCCGGUGUAGCGGUGAAAUGUGUAGAGAUCGGGAGGAACACCCGUGGCGAAGGCGGCCGGCUGGGCCGACCCUGACGCUGAGGCGCGAAGGCGUGGGGAGCGAACGGG